AUGCGGAUGAAAUUGAAGGCGGCUUAUACACUGAUUGAACAACUGUACACCGGUGCACAACGGGUUAUCUCUACAGUCUCUUAUAACAAACCAGCACCAACACUGAUCAAAGACACAUUAGCAGGACUAUCCAUGACACCGGCUCAGAUAGAAGAGGUGAAACGUUCUGCUGCUAGGGUUGGCGCUUUACUGGCACUGACCCGGGCCAAAGCAUGGAUAUCUGACUUGGAUCCGGUUGACAUUGCCAAGGGAUUCCCAGAUGAACAGGCAGACGGAUCAGCAUUUGAUAAUGACACACUUAAAGCUCUGACAAAGGAGAUGUGUCCACUGUCUAGUCAGCUGGCUCUAGAAGCUAAUCUGACUGUGCAUCGGUAUUUUUAUGAUGAAGGGAACCAUCGAGUUGACUAG
RNAcentral lists this ribosomal RNA (408 nucleotides) under Triticum aestivum (bread wheat). RNAcentral's name for it is "partial small subunit ribosomal RNA". Lineage: Eukaryota; Viridiplantae; Streptophyta; Magnoliopsida; Poales; Poaceae. The record is from RNAcentral.